AGCUGAUCCUGAUGAACGAACGAGGUCAGUUCGCAUAUAAGCUUGGGCAGGCAAGCAGUCUUGAUCGUCGUCAUCAUCCGCGCCCGUCGCAUGAGCGCUGCAAAGUGAUCGACAAACGUAGACGUGUUUCUAAAGGAGUCGAUGAACCGAGGUAGAUCAACGAAACUGAAUUCUGGCGCUUAGCAACAGUCAAACGUAAUUGUACCGUCUAACAACUACUCUCAUUCACGCUCGACUUAGAAAUGCUGUUCACCAAUAAUGAAAUCUACGUAGAAUGCAAUUUACUUCUCCAGUCGACAGAUGAUCGACGAAAAGAAUUAAGCUGACCAAGAAUCAUGGCAUUACCAAUGGAAAAGGAUUAUCAGAAAUAUUGUUUGCGAUUGUAUAAACACUGCACAAUCGAGACAUUGCAAAUAUCUGCAAUUGUCUCGUGUUUCUAGCAGGAAUAAUUCGACACCGAAUAAAUAUUCCG
Hylaeus anthracinus is the source of this 472-nucleotide long non-coding RNA. RefSeq lists it as uncharacterized. Lineage: Eukaryota; Metazoa; Arthropoda; Insecta; Hymenoptera; Colletidae. The record is from RefSeq and is a predicted model, not a curated record. The transcript is spliced from 3 exons.